RNAcentral lists this ribosomal RNA (445 nucleotides) under uncultured Bacillota bacterium. RNAcentral's name for it is "bacterial SSU rRNA". It matches the Rfam family "Bacterial small subunit ribosomal RNA", at positions 917 to 1359 of the family's 1533-position model. Lineage: Bacteria; Bacillati; Bacillota. The record is from RNAcentral.
GGGCCCGCACAAGCGGUGGAGCAUGUGGUUUAAUUCGAAGCAACGCGAAGAACCUUACCAAGGCUUGACAUCCCGACGCCGUAUGCAGAGAUGUAUAUUUCCUCUUCGGAGGACGUCGGAGACAGGUGGUGCAUGGUUGUCGUCAGCUCGUGUCGUGAGAUGUUGGGUUAAGUCCCGCAACGAGCGCAACCCUUGUCGUCAGUAGCCAGCGCGAAAGGCGGGCACACUGGGGAUACCGCCGCGGAUAACGCGGAGGAAGGUGGGGAUGAGGUCAAAUCAUCAUGCCCCUUAUGUCUUGGGCAACACACGUGCUACAAUGGCUCGAACAAAGUGAAGCAAACCAGUGAUGGGGAGCAAAGCACGAAAUCGAGUCUCAGUUCGGAUUGAAGUCUGCAACCCGACUUCAUGAAGCUGGAAUCGCUAGUAAUCGCGGAUCAGCAUGCCG